CUUGCGGUUGGGGCGGACCCGGACGUCGUCCUCGUCGGUGUGCUUGCCGUAGCGGCGCAUGGUUCCAGUCCGCCCGUCAGU
Molecule: transfer RNA, 81 nt
Filed under: Streptomyces longispororuber
Lineage: Bacteria; Bacillati; Actinomycetota; Actinomycetes; Kitasatosporales; Streptomycetaceae
Also listed under: 2 other names
Description: tRNA-Glu
Source: RNAcentral